GUAAGGGAAUCUUCCACAAUGGGCGCAAGCCUGAUGGAGCAACACCGCGUGAGUGAAGAAGGGUUUCGGCUCGUAAAGCUCUGUUGUUAAAGAAGAACACGUAUGAGAGUAACUGUUCAUACGUUGACGGUAUUUAACCAGAAAGUCACGGCUAACUACGUGCCAG
This 166-nucleotide ribosomal RNA is filed under the name uncultured bacterium. RNAcentral's name for it is "partial 16S rRNA". It matches the Rfam family "Bacterial small subunit ribosomal RNA", at positions 353 to 511 of the family's 1533-position model. The record is from RNAcentral.